Molecule: ribosomal RNA, 705 nt
Filed under: uncultured Actinomycetes bacterium
Lineage: Bacteria; Bacillati; Actinomycetota; Actinomycetes
Description: bacterial SSU rRNA
Rfam family: Bacterial small subunit ribosomal RNA
Source: RNAcentral
UGCAAGUCGAACGGAAAGGCCAGUGCUUGCACUGGUACUCGAGUGGCGAACGGGUGAGUAACACGUGGGUGAUCUGCCCUGUACUUCGGGAUAAGCUUGGGAAACUGGGUCUAAUACCGGAUAGGACAACUUUUUGGAUAUUGUUGUGGAAAGCUUUUGCGGUAUGGGAUGAGCUCGCGGCCUAUCAGCUUGUUGGUGGGGUAAUGGCCUACCAAGGCGUCGACGGGUAGCCGGCCUGAGAGGGUGUACGGCCACAUUGGGACUGAGAUACGGCCCAGACUCCUACGGGAGGCAGCAGUGGGGAAUAUUGCACAAUGGGCGCAAGCCUGAUGCAGCGACGCCGCGUGGGGGAUGAAGGCCUUCGGGUUGUAAACUCCUUUCGCUAGGGACGAAGCUUUUUUGUGACGGUACCUGGAGAAGAAGCACCGGCUAACUACGUGCCAGCAGCCGCGGUAAUACGUAGGGUGCGAGCGUUGUCCGGAAUUACUGGGCGUAAAGAGCUCGUAGGUGGUUUGUCGCGUCGUUUGUGUAAGUCCACAGCUUAACUGUGGGACUGCAGGCGAUACGGGCAUAACUUGAGUGCUGUAGGGGAGACUGGAAUUCCUGGUGUAGCGGUGAAAUGCGCAGAUAUCAGGAGGAACACCGAUGGCGAAGGCAGGUCUCUGGGCAGUAACUGACGCUGAGGAGCGAAAGCAUGGGUAGCGA